UACAGAGACCUCAAGCGUUAUCCGGAAUCAUUGGGCGUAAAGCGUACCGAUAGGUGGUUUAACAAGUCAGAAGUGAAAUCUCCGAGCUCAACUCGGAAUCUGUCUUUUGAAACUGUUAAACUAGAAGGGCAAAGAGGAAGCUGGAACAAACGGUGUAGUAGUGAAAUGCGUUGAUAUCGUUUGGAACACCAAUAGCGUAGGCAGGCUUCUGGGUGCCACUUGACACUGCUAGGACGAAAGCGUGGGUAGCGAAUGGG
Molecule: ribosomal RNA, 257 nt
Filed under: uncultured bacterium
Lineage: Bacteria
Description: partial 16S ribosomal RNA
Rfam family: Bacterial small subunit ribosomal RNA
Source: RNAcentral